Molecule: long non-coding RNA, 1794 nt
Organism: Tachysurus fulvidraco (yellow catfish)
Lineage: Eukaryota; Metazoa; Chordata; Actinopteri; Siluriformes; Bagridae
Exons: 3
Source: RefSeq, a predicted model, not a curated record
CUUGUUGCUGGCAGAAGGACUCCAUCAAAAUGCUGUCGAGCACCUGGUCUACAGUAACAGCGGCUCCCUGCACCGAGUCACCGUCUCCUGUCAGCGACUCCGUGUCCAUGCCGUUCACAGUCCCACGGUUUCCUACUUUGGGAACUUUGUUAUGCGUGAUGACGGAUGAAGAAGCUGAACGUUGAAAACCUGAUUACUGCAAAAGUUUUUAAAAUGAACUUCUCUUGGAUUCUCCAGCUGGGGGCAACAUUGUGUUGUAAAACAAAAAGGUGUUCAUGGACAGAUGAGUCAUGCUUUUGGGCGAGCGCUUUAUAAACAGUACCAAAAGGACCCUAGCUGUAUGUACCUGACAUAUUAACCAGGAUUCUGUUGCCUUGCAAGAUUUCUUUCUGUCAGAUUUUUAGUUCUUGCCACUUGCCACCAAGAAUUUAAAUCUACAUCUGGAUUUGUGUAAAGCUGGCUAUAAAAAUAAAAUUGUAUUGAUCUGAAUUGUGUACAACAUGUCUUUUUAUAGGCUUCACAGGCAUACAUACAACCUAGUAAAACAUUGUAAUGAGUGAUAUUUGUUUAGUUGUUGAUUUUAAUUGCUCACCUAGGACCAAAUCCACCUACCAAAAUCCUCCCAAAUCCAAAAUGAACUUUACCAGCUCUACUGGAACCCACUGAGCAAAACAAUUUUCCCCCACUUGACCUUUCUAUAGAUGUAAGAUUAUAUCCUAUAGUUAUUCAAGCAGUUGGAAAAUAGGUUGAGCAAUUGAAUGUGAAUAUUACCCACUGAGUGUUUUAAAAUAAAAAUAUAAAUGGUAUAGCUGGGAUUCAGAAGCCUGUACGCACUCCAACUGCCAACACAUAGCCAUGUCCCUACAGCUACCACUGUAAUUGAGUCCUUUUUGUGGCAUCAGAGUGAAACGUUAGGUGUAAUUGAGUUUCCAAUUACAGACUCUUUGAUAGGAACAUAGCAGAGGAUCCGAAGUUGCAGGGCCGUAAUUAUUGUAAACUAAUGUGCAGGCUGUGGCGAAGGGAAAGAGAGGAAAAGAAAAUGCAGGAAAAGAAUGUUAUUUCAUUCAAAUGGAAGCCAUACAAAUUCUAUAAAUAAAAUUGAAAAGUCUCAACCACAGAAAGAAUGACUUUAAAGAUGUGUCCCUUAAACAAGAUUCAUAUUAAGAAGCAGCCAUAAAAAAGUCCUUUAAGAAGAUUCUUCCAGUCAUUAAUAUUAGACAAGAUAUCCUUCAUGUCUCAAUGUCAGUUAGAAGCAACACCUGUAACCCCUGUGUUUUCAACAUUCAGCUUCAGAUUGUCAGUGUCCUUCCUCCAAGCUGUUAAAGCCCUGUUUCACCUCACUGGACUAUUUUCACAAAACAACAUCUGUGCUUAGCCAAGGAGAACUAAUGGUGCUGGGCUUACUAAGACCUAAAAUCUAACACACAGAGCAACAGGCCUAAUAAAGAAUAUAUGGUAAAACACUUAUUGGUUUAUUGGUGAAUGCAGGAGAAUCCUAGUUAUAUUUUAUGUCUGUUUUGACUCAGCAGUUUCACUGUAAUCACUAGAGUAAAUUAUUAAAUGUUAAAUUAUUUUAGUCUCUCAAAUCCAAAACUAUUCUGUCUGUAGAAAGCUGUGGAUCUCUUAUAUCUGAGGCCGUACCAUUAAACACCCUUGUAAGCAUAUUUGGUCCAAAUACACAAAAUAUAAAUGAGAAUUAGGGUCUCUGACAGAAGAUGUGUAAGGCACAUUCAGGAAUUAGAAAAGGCCCCUUUUCAAAACAGUGAUACCCACAUCAAGAGCAUUCAGCCAACC